UCAAACUUGGUCAUUUAGAGGAAGUAAAAGUCGUAACAAGGUUUCCGUAGGUGAACCUGCGGAAGGAUCAUUACUGAAGUUAAUGUAUAGUUUUCUGGAUCUAUUCCUGAAAACUAUCUAUCCUUCUUUAUAUAAACCCACUGUGAAAAAAAUCUAUCGGACGGUACUAGGUUUACUGGUCGAGAGCAAAUCAGAUUUGGUUUUGGUCGCUCGAAUUACCUUUUUUAAUUCAAAAGAUGAAGAGAAUGGCAAGAAAUUUGAUAAACAAGUUAAAACUUUCAGUGACGGAUCUCUUGGCUCUCGCAUCGAUGAAGAACGCAGC
RNAcentral lists this unclassified non-coding RNA (322 nucleotides) under uncultured fungus. Its description in RNAcentral is "partial contains small subunit ribosomal RNA, internal transcribed spacer 1, and 5.8S ribosomal RNA". The stretch from base 1 to 73 matches the Rfam family "Eukaryotic small subunit ribosomal RNA", at positions 1759 to 1831 of the family's 1831-position model. The record is from RNAcentral. Lineage: Eukaryota; Fungi.